GCACAGAGGAGAACCCAGAUCAGAAGCAGGAGACGUUUCACCCUGCAGGGGAGUGCUGACAGCAUGACACUUGUGAGCUGGCUGUGGGCAAUCGCGGUUUCCACCUGUUUGGAACCCAGCAUAGCCCAGACAGUCUCUCAGUCUCAACCAGAGAUGUCUGUGCAGGAGGCAGAGACUGUGACCCUGAAUUGCCUAUACGACACUAGCGACAGUAAUUAUUAUUUGUUCUGGUACAAACAGCCUCCCAGCAGGCAGAUGAUUCCCAUUAUUCGCCAAGAAGCUUAUAAGCAACAGAAUGCAACGGAGAAUCGCUUCUCUGUGAACUUCCAGAAAGCAGCCAAAUCCUUCAGUCUCAAGAUCUCAGAGUCACAGCUAGGGGAUGCCGCGAUGUACUUCUGUGCUUAUUUGAGCACACAAAUUCAAGAAAUUUUACUUGCCAAGUCUAAACUCUUUUAA
Non-coding RNA from Carlito syrichta (Philippine tarsier), 456 nucleotides. Lineage: Eukaryota; Metazoa; Chordata; Mammalia; Primates; Tarsiidae. The record is from the annotation of a RefSeq genome assembly.